UGUGACGUAUAAUCUAGUGGACGGAACGCUUCUUUCAACAGCAACAACAGUUCGUCAGACACCUCGGUAGCUUGCUAGACAAAAUAGCCGAACCAAUAAAGCUCUUUAGACGCUUUCGUGUAUAUUAGCCGCUGUGUUUAAAACUUCUGUCGUCUAGUUAGUUAUCCGAUUUAAUUUCAUAUUUACGGUGUUGUAGUUAUUAGUCAGCUAGCGGGCUGGUUAAGUUAGCAUUAGCCUAGCUAGCUAACAUCCCCGACCAUGCGGUCACUUAGCUACUCUCCUCCUGAUAAAGAAGAGGUCUGCUGGACGGAGAAAUAAGUGGGGGAAGGUGGAGGCUGUUAAAUUACAAAAACAAGUUGAGGCUGUUGCAGUGAAAGAAGAGGAAGACGCACUGAGAGUGAAAGAGGAGGAGGAUGUUACUGUAUUUUUAUUUUAUUUAACCAGGAGAGAGACGGGACUAUCGUGGAGCCUCAACAAAAUCAUGAUGCUGACAAGGCAGAAAAAAGUCUCUCCAGAUCAAAACACCCCAAGAAGCACCUGCAGAGACCCACAAGGAAGAGAGCUCACCCCUGCUCUGACUGUGGAAAGAGUUUUGUUCGCCCAGGACAAUUAAAAUCACACCAGAGAACACACACAGUAGAGAAACCUUCUAGCUGUAAUCAAUGUGAGAAGAGUUUUACUCAGUCAAGCAACCUGAUAUCACACCAGAGAAGACACACAGGAAAUAAACCUUUUAGCUGUGAGGACUGUGGAAAGAGUUUUACUACAUCUAACCAUCUUAUUGUACACCAGAGAACACACACAGGAGAGAAAUCUCAUAACUGUGAUCAACGUGACAAGAGAUACUCUGAUCAAACAUCAGAAAAUACAUGGAGUUGUUUCAUGAUAUAAAUGAAAUGUCACAAUGUAGAAUGUUUUAACAUUGUAGAAGGAGUAUUUUAAUGAUGUCACAAUGUAGAUCCCUAAACGUUUGUCGCAUGUUCUAUUGAUUUCAGCAUGAUCUGGAUAUUAGCCUCAGGGGGAAAAUCCAGGCUCUGAAUUGAAAGAGUACUAAUUAUGUGAUUUAACAAAAAGUGACUAACAAAAAAGAGUUGUUACACUUACCACGUUGGUGACCCACUUGAAUCAAAAUGCAACACUUCAAAAUGUAGCUAGCUGUUUUUUUUACAAAUUGUCCUCUAACCAAUGAUUUACACAUUAUUCCCAGAUUCCUUGUGGUUUUUGCUGUCUUAGUUUUAACAGGAUGUGCAACCUCAUCUGCCCCCUCUCACGCAAUUGAUUUCAACAUGAUAUUGAUGAGUUAUGACAAAUAAGUGUUGUGUUCCUUUGUUUAGCGACCCCUACAUUUAAAUGCAUCACUCCAAAAUGUAGCUGACUGUCUUCUGCAGGUUGUCGUCUAACCAGUGAGGUUAAAGAUAUCUCCCAUUUCCAUGUGUUUUUUUAGUUGUGUUAGUUUCAACAGCACGUACAACCUGAUUUCCCCCCCAAAUCGAUAUCAGUGAUUUAUUGCUACUUGUGCAGUUUUUAAGGUGCUUGUUUAAAAAAAUAAAAGUAAUAUGAUUUUUGUGGCAGAAG
Molecule: long non-coding RNA, 1575 nt
Organism: Oncorhynchus mykiss (rainbow trout)
Lineage: Eukaryota; Metazoa; Chordata; Actinopteri; Salmoniformes; Salmonidae
Source: RefSeq, a predicted model, not a curated record